CUAUAUACUCCACUCCUUUUUACCUUGAUGGUAUUCCAUGCAGGUUCUUAUACUGCACCCAAGACUGUGGUGUCUGAACACCUCAUACAGCUAAGCACCCAUCAAGAACAAGACCUAAGCCUAGCCUUCAGUGUGGUUUUGCUUGUGCUCCAAGGAGCCGACGGAGAGAGGGAGUGGAGAAGCCGGCUGAAACUAUCCCUGCUGCCCCGGCAGGAUGACCAGCUGAGCUGGGAAAGACAAGGAAGCACGCGCAAGUGACUAGAAAAACAGAAUCUCGCCCUAAUCAGAAACCCAUCUGCUCCUUCUCUGUGAUGCUGUGGUUAAGUAACAAUGUUGAAUUUAUGGCACCUUCCAGAGGGAAAGACGACAGAUACCAUGAAUGUAACAAUCCCAUUUCUCUUCUGGGUCAUGCAGAAAGGGUAC
RNAcentral lists this long non-coding RNA (423 nucleotides) under Aquila chrysaetos chrysaetos. Its description in RNAcentral is "lncRNA (ENSACCG00020003626.1)". Lineage: Eukaryota; Metazoa; Chordata; Aves; Accipitriformes; Accipitridae. The record is from RNAcentral.